This 253-nucleotide ribosomal RNA is filed under the name uncultured bacterium. Its description in RNAcentral is "partial 16S ribosomal RNA". It matches the Rfam family "Bacterial small subunit ribosomal RNA", at positions 524 to 776 of the family's 1533-position model. The record is from RNAcentral.
UACGUAGGGUGCAAGCGUUGUCCGGAAUUAUUGGGCGUAAAGAGCUCGUAGGCGGUCUGUCGCGUCGAAUGUGAAAACCCGGGGCUCAACCCCGGGCCUGCAUUCGAUACGGGCAGACUAGAGUGCGGUAGGGGAGAUUGGAAUUCCUGGUGUAGCGGUGGAAUGCGCAGAUAUCAGGAGGAACACCAAUGGCGAAGGCAGAUCUCUGGGCAAUUCCUGACGCUGAGGCGCGAAAGCGUGGGGAGCAAACGGG